GGCAGAUCUGAAACACAGAAAGACAGGAAGCAGGACUGAAGAACUUCCUAGAGACAGGACAACCUGCCCUUAAGAGCAACAUUUUGAACAUCCAGAAUAUAGCCACAACAACCUUCUGUGCCUAGACAAGGGUCUUAUUGCGUAUGAGUAGGAGGGGUCAAGGAAGAGAAGACACAGUCACAGAAAGAAGCUUAUUCUGAAAGGCAACAUGCUGACCACAAAGUUUGCACUCUAACUUGAUUUCCCAACAGAAGUACUUAGUGGAGAUAAUUGCUGAACUUUGGACUACUUUUCUGUUCAUUCAUUUGACAUGAAUCAUUAAAUAUACCUUGACAUUACCGAAAUUUCACAUGACAAAUAACAGUAAACCUUUUGUGCUAAA
Molecule: long non-coding RNA, 382 nt
Organism: Peromyscus eremicus (cactus mouse)
Lineage: Eukaryota; Metazoa; Chordata; Mammalia; Rodentia; Cricetidae
Exons: 2
Source: RefSeq, a predicted model, not a curated record